This is a long non-coding RNA of Peromyscus eremicus (cactus mouse), 1137 nucleotides long. RefSeq lists it as uncharacterized. The transcript has 3 exons. Lineage: Eukaryota; Metazoa; Chordata; Mammalia; Rodentia; Cricetidae. The record is from RefSeq and is a predicted model, not a curated record.
CCAGAAUGUUGGUGAUCCACCAUAGAAAAUCCGCCCAGGAAAGCUGAAGGCACUGAGCCCUGGAUGCCUUAACCCAAGGAACCAUCAACCUACCAGCCAGCUGGACCAAAGCUCAUGCCAGCACCAGCCCCUCUGAAUACCCCACAAUUGCCUUGAGCAAAUGACACCAUGAUCACAAAUGAUUGCUCUGGCUCCUGAAGGUACAGCCUCUGCCAGGGCAGUUUCAAACAUUUUAUACCAGACACAUCGCUACACAAGCUGUCAUGAACUCUAGAUGAUCCUGCAAGCGUUUCCACCCUGGCCAGAGAGGGGAACAACACUUCCCCUUGUGGCCUAGCAGAGAGACUCCCAUGACUAGAGCUAAAGGGACAGUGCUGGCUGGGAUUAUGACAAGCAAAAGUCUUCAUUUGGAUGCAAGGAUAUGAAAAAACAAACUUUGACCCAGAACACUCAUGGGCAUGCGAUUUUGUUAAGGUUGAGAUGAAAGUCAUGUCCCAAGAGUGACUAUUGCUUCUGGCAAUCCCCUGGCCUGGACUGAGAUUCCUUUAUUGAAGACACAUCUGGCCAAUGAAAUGGCUGCUGCAAACCACCACUGGGCUAAGAAGAAAGAACUGAGAUGGGCUGUCAGCUCUAACUCACUGAGGCUAGAGUGAUAAAUUAACAAGGUUGGAAGGUUAAGUGUUUAGUUCAAGGCACAGAAUUUCCAAGGCCACUUAGAAAAUCCCUUACCUCUUGUAAAUGGUUGGCUGCUGUAGCCAAACAUCAUUACUUAAUUACAGUGUAACUUUAUGACCUCACCAAUACUCAGCCAUCAACAUGUAAGAUGAAGAAUGUGACAUCAAGAAUUAGAAGAGAGAUUUUGUACAAUUCCCUUGACUAUAAAUAUUCUCCCUCAUUGAAAGGCUCUUGCCAGCAAAAAGUGACCUUCUGUUACAUGAAACCAGGGUGAGUUUUGACUUGCUUGGAAGCCCUGCAAUGAUUUUAUCUAAUCUCACUGUUUUGUUCGGGCAUGCCACCUCUGCUCGGGCUUGCUUAACCUGGAAACCUUGUUGUGGGAAGACUUGAGGGGACUGGAGGGGCUAUGAUUCUCAUCUUAGACAUGUGUCUGCCACCUAAAUAAAAUGGUCACACCAUUCA